Xylaria venustula is the source of this 99-nucleotide non-coding RNA. The record is from the annotation of a GenBank genome assembly. Lineage: Eukaryota; Fungi; Ascomycota; Sordariomycetes; Xylariales; Xylariaceae.
GGUCCCAUAACUCAGUUGGUUAGAGUGUCGUACUAAUACUAUAACACCCUUAUAACAUUGGUCAUGCGAAAGUCGUGAGUUCGACCCUCACUGGGACCA